CAGCCGCCGCGGUAAUACAGAGGGUGCGAGCGUUAAUCGGAUUUACUGGGCGUAAAGCGUGCGUAGGCGGCUUCUUAAGUCGGAUGUGAAAUCCCUGAGCUUAACUUAGGAAUUGCAUUCGAUACUGGGAAGCUAGAGUAUGGGAGAGGAUGGUAGAAUUCCAGGUGUAGCGGUGAAAUGCGUAGAGAUCUGGAGGAAUACCGAUGGCGAAGGCAGCCAUCUGGCCUAAUACUGACGCUGAGGUACGAAAGCAUGGGGAGCAAACAGGAUUAGAUACCCCCGUAGUUCCUGUCUCUUAUAC
This 301-nucleotide ribosomal RNA is filed under the name uncultured bacterium. RNAcentral describes it as "partial 16S ribosomal RNA". It matches the Rfam family "Bacterial small subunit ribosomal RNA", at positions 509 to 807 of the family's 1533-position model. The record is from RNAcentral.